RNAcentral lists this ribosomal RNA (377 nucleotides) under uncultured bacterium. Its description in RNAcentral is "bacterial SSU rRNA". It matches the Rfam family "Bacterial small subunit ribosomal RNA", at positions 523 to 898 of the family's 1533-position model. The record is from RNAcentral.
AUACGUAGGUGGCGAGCGUUGUCCGGAAUUACUGGGUGUAAAGGGCGUGUAGGCGGGGGUGCAAGUCAGAUGUGAAAUACUAAGGCUUAACCUUGGGGCUGCAUCUGAAACUGUGUUUCUUGAGUGUCGGAGAGGAAAGCGGAAUUCCCAGUGUAGCGGUGAAAUGCGUAGAGAUUGGGAGGAACACCAGUGGCGAAGGCGGCUUUCUGGACGACAACUGACGCUGAGGCGCGAAAGCGUGGGGAGCAAACAGGAUUAGAUACCCUGGUAGUCCACGCCGUAAACGAUGGAUACUAGGUGCAGGAGGUAUCGACCCCUUCGGUGCCGGAGUUAACACAAUAAGUAUCCCACCUGGGGAGUACGGCCGCAAGGUUGAA